GUCCUACGGGGGGCAGCAGUCGGGAAUAUUGCGCAAUGGAGGAAACUCUGACGCAGUGACGCCGCGUAUAGGAAGAAGGUUUUCGGAUUGUAAACCUCUUUUGUCAGGGAGCAACGCCGGCUACGUGUAGCCGGACUGAGAGUACCUGAAGAAAAAGCAUCGGCUAACUCCGUGCCAGCAGCCGCGGUAAUACGGAGGAUGCGAGCGUUAUCCGGAUUUAUUGGGUUUAAAGGGAGCGUAGGCGGAAUGCCAAGGCAGCGGUAAAAUCGCGGGGCUCAACCU
Molecule: ribosomal RNA, 282 nt
Filed under: uncultured bacterium
Lineage: Bacteria
Description: partial 16S ribosomal RNA
Rfam family: Bacterial small subunit ribosomal RNA
Source: RNAcentral